This 1349-nucleotide ribosomal RNA is filed under the name cf. Capheris sp. Guinea Bissau MR467. RNAcentral describes it as "SSU rRNA". It matches the Rfam family "Eukaryotic small subunit ribosomal RNA", at positions 416 to 1806 of the family's 1831-position model. The record is from RNAcentral. Lineage: Eukaryota; Metazoa; Arthropoda; Arachnida; Araneae; Zodariidae.
AUCCAAGGAAGGCAGCAGGCGCGCAAAUUACCCACUCCCAGCACGGGGAGGUAGUGACGAAAAAUAGCAAUACGGGACUCUUUUGAGACCCCGUAAUUGGAAUGAGUACACUCUAAAUCCUUUAACGAGGAUCCAUUGGAGGGCAAGUCURGUGCCAGCAGCUGCGGUAAUUCCAGCUCCAAUAGCGUAUAUUAAAGUUGUUGCGGUUAAAAAGCUCGUAGUUGGAUCUCAGUUCCAGACGGGUGGUCCGCCUAACGGUGGUUACUGCCUGUUCUGAACAGCCAGCCGGUUUCUCUUGAUGAUCUUCACCGGUUGUCUUGGGUGACCGGCAAGUUUACUUUGAAAAAAUUAGAGUGCUCAAAGCAGGCGCGACGCCUGAAUAAUGGUGCAUGGAAUAAUGGAAUAGGACCUCGGUUCUAUUUUGUUGGUUUUCGGAACACGAGGUAAUGAUUAAAAGGGACAGACGGGGGCAUUCGUAUUGCGACGCUAGAGGUGAAAUUCUUGGACCGGCGCAAGACGAACUACUGCGAAAGCAUUUGCCAAGAAUGUUUCCAUUAAUCAAGAACGAAAGUUAGAGGUUCGAAGGCGAUCAGAUACCGCCCUAGUUCUAACCAUAAACGAUGCCAGCCAGCGAUCCGGCUGUGUUCCUCAAAUGACACGCCGGGCAGCUUCCGGGAAACCAAAGUUUUUGGGUUCCGGGGGAAGUAUGGUUGCAAAGCUGAAACUUAAAGGAAUUGACGGAAGGGCACCACCAGGAAUGGAGCCUGCGGCUUAAUUUGACUCAACACGGGAAAACUUACCCGGCCCGGACACAAGAAGGAUUGACAGAUUAAGAGCUCUUUCUUGAUUUUGUGGGUGGUGGUGCAUGGCCGUUCUUAGUUGGUGGAGCGAUUUGUCUGGUUAAUUCCGAUAACGAGCGAGACUCUAGCCUACUAAAUAGACGUUCCCAUCCUAUGCGUGGGACGUUCUUCUUAGAGGGACAAGCGGCGUUUAGCCGCACGAGACAGAGCAAUAACAGGUCUGUGAUGCCCUUAGAUGUUCGGGGCCGCACGCGCGCUACAUUGAAGGAAACAGCGUGUGCUUUCCCUGUCCGACAGGACUGGGUAACCCGAUGAACCUCCUUCGUGCUGGGGAUAGGGGAUUGUAAUUGUUCCCCUUGAACGAGGAAUUCCCAGUAAGCACGAGUCAUAAGCUCGUGUUGAUUACGUCCCUGCCCUUUGUACACACCGCCCGUCGCUACUACUGAUUGGAUGAUUUAGUGAGGUCUUCGGACUGGCGCUCGGAGCGGCCUUCUGGUCGCGCCGGCGUGCCGGAAAGAUGACCAAACUUGAUCAUCUAGAAGAAGUAAA